GGGCGCGUAGCUCAAUUGGCCAGAGCGCUCGCUUUACAUGCGAGAGGUUCCCGGUUCAAGCCCGGGCGUGCCUA
Molecule: transfer RNA, 74 nt
Filed under: Phycisphaerae bacterium
Lineage: Bacteria; Pseudomonadati; Planctomycetota; Phycisphaerae
Description: tRNA-Val
Rfam family: tRNA
About the family: Transfer RNA (tRNA) molecules are approximately 80 nucleotides in length. Their secondary structure includes four short double-helical elements and three loops (D, anti-codon, and T loops).
Source: RNAcentral